CCUACGGGAGGCAGCAGUGGGGAAUAUUGCGCAAUGGAGGAAAGCCUGAUGCAGCAACGCCGCGUGAAUGAAGAAGGUCUUCGGAUCGUAAAGUUCUAUCAUCAGGGACGAAGAAGAUGACGGUACCUGAGGAAUAAGCCACGGCAAACUACGUGCCAGCAGCCGCGGUAAUACGUAGGUGGCAAGCGUUGUCCGGAAUUACUGGGGGUAAAGGGAGCGUAGGCGGUCUGGUAAGCUGGAAGUGAAAUCCCGGGGCUUAACCCCAGAACUGCAUUUAGGACUGACGAGCUUGAGUGUAAGAGAGGUAAGCGGAAUUCCUAGUGUAGCGGUGGAAUGCGUAGAUAUUAGGAGGAACACCAGUGGCGAAGGCGGCUUACUGGAUUAUAACUGACGCUGAGGCUCGAAAGCGUGGGUAGCGAACAGGAUUAGAUACCCUAGUAGUC
Molecule: ribosomal RNA, 443 nt
Filed under: uncultured bacterium
Lineage: Bacteria
Description: partial 16S ribosomal RNA
Rfam family: Bacterial small subunit ribosomal RNA
Source: RNAcentral